GGUUUUAUAGUUUAAAAAAAACUAUUAAAUUGCAAAUUUAAUAAUACUUUUAAGAAGUUAAAACUU
This 66-nucleotide transfer RNA is filed under the name Colpocephalum eucarenum. Its description in RNAcentral is "tRNA-Cys". The record is from RNAcentral. Lineage: Eukaryota; Metazoa; Arthropoda; Insecta; Psocodea; Menoponidae.